UACGGGAGGCAGCAGUGGGGAAUAUUGGGCAAUGGAGGAAACUCUGUCCAGCGACGCCGCGUGAGGGAUGAAGGCCUUCGGGUUGUAAACCUCUUUCAGCAGGGAAUAAGCGAAAGUGAAGGUACCUGCAGAAGAAGCACCGCCUAACUAUGUGCCAGCAGCCGCGGUAAUACAUAGGGUGCAAGCGUUGUCCGGAAUUAUUGGGCGUAAAGAGCUCGUAGGUGGUCGAUCACGUCGGAUGUGAAAUUCUGAGGCUUAACCUCGGACCUGCAUUCGAUACGGGUUGACUAGAGUGUGGUAGGGGAGACUGGAAUUCCUGGUGUAGCGGUGGAAUGCGCAGAUAUCAGGAGGAACACCGAUGGCGAAGGCAGGUCUCUGGGCCAUUACUGACACUGAGGAGCGAAAGCGUGGGGAGCGAACAGGAUUAGAUACCCUGGUAGUCCACGCCGUAAACGGUGGGCGCUAGUUGUGGGAACCUUCCACGGUUUCUGCGACGCAGCUAACGCAUUAAGCGCCCCGCCUGGGGAGUACGGUCGCAAGACUAAAACUCAAAGGAAUUGACGGG
This 565-nucleotide ribosomal RNA is filed under the name uncultured bacterium. Its description in RNAcentral is "bacterial SSU rRNA". It matches the Rfam family "Bacterial small subunit ribosomal RNA", at positions 340 to 917 of the family's 1533-position model. The record is from RNAcentral.